This 22-nucleotide microRNA is filed under the name Gadus morhua (Atlantic cod). RNAcentral describes it as "gmo-miR-11937-5p". Lineage: Eukaryota; Metazoa; Chordata; Actinopteri; Gadiformes; Gadidae. The record is from miRBase by way of RNAcentral.
CGAAGACCGCGACGUCUGGCCU